Rattus norvegicus (Norway rat) is the source of this 694-nucleotide RNA transcript. It is a transcript of the gene named agouti signaling protein, transcript variant 1, non-coding, with no coding region annotated. The record is from RefSeq and is marked validated. Lineage: Eukaryota; Metazoa; Chordata; Mammalia; Rodentia; Muridae. The transcript is spliced from 4 exons.
CACCAGUCUGAGUCCUUGAGCCUCUGCAGCCUCAGAAGAGGGAGUCUUUAGCUGAAACCUCCAGGAACCAAGGGCCCAGAAGGCUUCUCAGGAUGGAUGUCACCCGCUUACUCCUGGCCACCCUCGUGGGCUUCCUGUGCUUCCUCACCGUCCACAGCCACCUGGUAUUUGAGGAGACGCUUGGAGAUGACAGGAGUCUAACUCACUGGAUUUCUCCUCUGUUUCCAUUGUGGCACUGAACAAGAAAUCCAAGAAGAUCAGCAGAAAAGAAGCGGAGAAGCGGAAGAGGUCUUCCAAGAAAAAGGCUUCGAUAAAGAAGGUGGCACGGCCCCCGCCACCUUCGCCCUGCGUGGCCACCCGCGACAGCUGCAAGCCGCCUGCGCCCGCCUGCUGCAACCCGUGCGCCUCCUGCCAGUGCCGUUUCUUCGGCAGCGCCUGCACUUGCCGCGUACUCAACCCCAACUGCUGAUCCCGCUGCUGCGCUGCGCUGCGCUGCGCUGCGCGCGCAGCUUCUGAAACAGGGUGACUGGGCGGGACCUCAGGGUCCCGCGCUUCUAGACUGAGGGGCGGGUCUCUGCGGGUGGGGCUUAUAGGUGGGCGUGGCCAGUGGUUGUGAGUUGUGGGCGCUUUCAGAAGAUGGGUUUUCUAGGAAACUUAGUGGAGGCUAAAAUCAGAAUACAGUAUUUUUAGACUG